GCCAAGGAUUUAUCUGCCACUCUUCUCUGAAUCAGAGGUCUUCUGCAUGGCUGGCAUUCACCAAAGACAAGGCAGCAGCUGGAGAUCAGGGGCCAGAAAUGGCGUCACUCUUUCUGGACCCGGCGUAACGUCAGGGCGGUCUGGACCUGGAGCUGCCAUCUCCCAGAGGACACCGGAAUGGGUCUCGCUGGACCUGCUGCACCUUGCAGACCCCCUAUCCAGCCCCCUGCCUCCCCUUCCGGAAGAAUAUAGCACUUGUCCGUCUUCCCAGCCAGGAAGGAGGAGGAUGUCUGUGGUCGGUGUCACAGCUGCCACGGCAAGGCAAGAGCCUCCGAGGGACAGAGGCCCGUACGGAGACAAGCCUGUGGCAAAAAGAAAACCGAUUCCCUCCGCAUCCUUUCAGCUGGCAGCUUGA
Molecule: long non-coding RNA, 415 nt
Filed under: Capra hircus (goat)
Lineage: Eukaryota; Metazoa; Chordata; Mammalia; Artiodactyla; Bovidae
Description: lncRNA (ENSCHIG00010031855.1)
Source: RNAcentral